Molecule: ribosomal RNA, 490 nt
Filed under: uncultured bacterium
Lineage: Bacteria
Description: bacterial SSU rRNA
Rfam family: Bacterial small subunit ribosomal RNA
Source: RNAcentral
UGGCUCAGGACGAACGCUGGCGGCGUGCUUAACACAUGCAAGUCGAACGAGGAUACAGGAGAGCUUGCUUGAAUGUAUCGAGUGGCGGACGGGUGAGUAACGCGUGAAUAAUCUGUCCCAUACAGGGGGAUAACGCAUCGAAAGAUGUGCUAAUACCGCGUAGGACCACGGGUGGGCAUCCAUCCGAGGUGAAAGGAGCAAUCCAGUAUGGGGUGAGUUCGCGUCUGAUUAGAUAGUUGGUGAGGUAACGGCCCACCAAGUCAACGAUCAGUAGCCGACCUGAGAGGGUGAUCGGCCACAUUGGGACUGAGACACGGCCCAGACUCCUACGGGAGGCAGCAGUGGGGAAUAUUGGGCAAUGGGCGAAAGCCUGACCCAGCAACGCCGCGUGAAGGAAGAAGGUUUUCGGAUUGUAAACUUCUGUCCUAUGUGAAGAGGAGAAGACGGUAGCAUAGGAGGAAGCCCCGGCUAACUACGUGCCAGCCGCAGC